UCCAUCCUCUGUGACAUCUACACGCCAAGCUCCAUGUUGGACUUUGUGGCUACAAAGAGGGAAAUGACACCAGCCCUGCCCUCGGAGCUCCUGAUCUGGGAAGAGUCUACUUCAAACAACCCCCAGCCCAUCAACUGCAGAGCCACAAUUUGUGUAUGAAGCCCACUAAGGGGAGGCCCCCCUACUUCUGUCUCCCGAUGUCCCCAGUAAAGAAACACUCAUUCAAUCCACUUUUUGUUAAUACAAGUCCCUUCCCCUGGGAAGGAAAUACA
This is a long non-coding RNA of Dama dama (fallow deer), 272 nucleotides long. RefSeq lists it as uncharacterized. Lineage: Eukaryota; Metazoa; Chordata; Mammalia; Artiodactyla; Cervidae. The record is from RefSeq and is a predicted model, not a curated record. The transcript has 3 exons.